AUUGAACGCUGGCGGCAUGCCUUACACAUGCAAGUCGAACGGUAACAGGUCUUCGGAUGCUGACGAGUGGCGAACGGGUGAGUAAUACAUCGGAACGUGCCUAGUAGUGGGAGAUAACUACUCGAAAGAGUGGCUAAUACCGCAUGAGAUCUACGGAUGAAAGCAGGGGAUCGCAAGACCUUGUGCUACUAGAGCGGCCGAUGGCAGAUUAGGUAGUUGGUGGGAUAAAAGCUUACCAAGCCGACGAUCUGUAGCUGGUCUGAGAGGACGAUCAGCCACACUGGGGAUGAGACACGGCCCAGACUCCUACGGGAGGCAGCAGUGGGGAAUUUUGGACAAUGGGCGCAAGCCUGAUCCAGCAAUGCCGCGUGCAGGAUGAAGGCCUUCGGGUUGUAAACUGCUUUUGUACGGAACGAAAAGCCCCGGGUUAAUACCCUGGGGUCAUGACGGUACCGUAAGAAUAAGCACCGGCUAACUACGUGCCAGCCGCCGCAGUAA
This 498-nucleotide ribosomal RNA is filed under the name uncultured bacterium. Its description in RNAcentral is "partial 16S ribosomal RNA". It matches the Rfam family "Bacterial small subunit ribosomal RNA", at positions 30 to 523 of the family's 1533-position model. The record is from RNAcentral.